RNAcentral lists this ribosomal RNA (274 nucleotides) under uncultured bacterium. Its description in RNAcentral is "partial 16S ribosomal RNA". It matches the Rfam family "Bacterial small subunit ribosomal RNA", at positions 523 to 796 of the family's 1533-position model. The record is from RNAcentral.
AUACGGAGGGUGCAAGCGUUGUUCGGAAUCACUGGGCGUAAAGGGCGCGCAGGCGGUUUGGUAAGUCAGAUGUGAAAGCCCACGGCUCAACCGUGGAAGUGCAUUUGAAACUGCCAGGCUUGAGUACCAGAGGGGAAAGUGGAAUUCCCGGUGUAGAGGUGAAAUGCGUAGAUAUCGGGAGGAAUACCGGUGGCGAAGGCGACUUUCUGGCUGGAUACUGACGCUGAGGCGCGAAAGCGUGGGGAGCAAACAGGAUUAGAAACCCUAGUAGUCC